UCUCGUUCGGAUACGGUUUCACCUAUAUAAAAACCCAAGCCCAACUCAAUUAAUUUGACCCGUAGCGUGCCCAAAGCCUAACGGCAUGACGUGGUCUGGGCUGGAUUUUGGGCCCACAAGGCUGAUAACCAGAAUUUUUGGGGAAGGUCUGAUUAAUUUCGAGAUUAUCGCAGACAGUGAAUGGAGCCCAAAAGAAUGGCUUGAGUUGAGUCUGGUCAGGAUCGGACCUGACCCCCUACUCUUGGGACCCCUAUACGACCAUAUUUUAACUAUAUAAAGUUGCAACUUGCAAGAUACUACAGGACA
This 306-nucleotide long non-coding RNA is filed under the name Elaeis guineensis (African oil palm). RNAcentral's name for it is "long non-coding RNA (EGUI_LNC076172)". Lineage: Eukaryota; Viridiplantae; Streptophyta; Magnoliopsida; Arecales; Arecaceae. The record is from RNAcentral.